This is a long non-coding RNA of Gallus gallus (chicken), 793 nucleotides long. RefSeq lists it as uncharacterized. The transcript is spliced from 3 exons. The record is from RefSeq and is a predicted model, not a curated record. Lineage: Eukaryota; Metazoa; Chordata; Aves; Galliformes; Phasianidae.
GGGCUGACUGCUACUAGGGAAGGGUCUCUUUCUGGAGAUUUCUCAUUGGUGAAACUUUCUCCUUUAAGCCUAGGAUCUUCUGAUAUGGGGAUGAGAGCAGAUCUCUCAAGAGCACCGCAUUAGUAAAUUCUGCCUGCUUCUGCUGUACCAAGGCAAAAUUGUCUUGAAGCUUGCUCCAACUGUACUUACCUCUCAGUGCAGUUAUGGGUUGACAGUGGAGGUGAGGGCAUCUCUUGCUGAAGAUCCCUGCCUACCUGAGGCCUUCCUAAGAUAGAAUCAUGAGCUGCUGAAAGGCCUCAGUUGGAUCCAACCUGUUGGAUGAUAGUCCCACAAAUGGUCUCUGUAGAAAUGACUCUUGGGGAAAGCUACACACCUGAUCUCAUAUUUUUUUUCCUUUGCAAGGAUGUUUUGCCAAUUGGCAAGUUCAACAGGAAGAACAUAGACACCAACAAAAGGGAUAAGAUUAUUAUACUGUGUAUUUCAAAAUGAUACAGAAAUAAAGCAGUGCCUACAGUAAAAAGAUAAGCUUAACAGUAAAGAAAAUAAGUGGAGUAAUGCAUCUAAUUGUUACUACAUGAGGUUAGCAAAAGUGAUUAAGAAAGACACAUCAUCCAUUGCCCUAGUACUUUACUAUCAUCCACAGGUGCUGGAGAGCCCUGGUUGCAGUGCAGAUCAAUUGGGAACUCCUAUGGUGGUGUGUCCCCCCUGUAAGUGAGGUCUCCAAAGUUGCUGCAAGAAAGUCUUAUGGAAACAAAUCUACAUAACAGUCAGGUAGAACACCUGUUUUCCUCUU